Molecule: long non-coding RNA, 222 nt
Organism: Eriocheir sinensis (Chinese mitten crab)
Lineage: Eukaryota; Metazoa; Arthropoda; Malacostraca; Decapoda; Varunidae
Exons: 2
Source: RefSeq, a predicted model, not a curated record
CAGCGUGUGGCCGGUGGGCGACAUCCACUGGCGUCAGGGCUGGGCGGCCAUCAUGACGCUGUUCUUUCAGAAGGGCCUCGCCAUCCUGGGCACGGCCAUCAGCGGUGAAGCCAUCAUGCCGCCAACACUCCAUUAUUUCAUAGAGAAGGAAUCAGGUGGAAUUCAGCCCUCGGCAGGAUGUAGAAGUGGCGGAAGGCCAAUAUAAAGAUGACGAAGACUCAA